GUAGGUGGCAAGCGUUGUCCGGAAUUAUUGGGCGUAAAGCGCGCGCAGGUGGUUCUUUAAGUCUGAUGUGAAAGCCCCCGGGCUCAACCGGGGAGGGUCAUUGGAAACUGGGGAACUUGAGUGCAGGAGAGGAAAGUGGAAUUCCACGUGUGGCGGUGAAAUGCGUAGAUAUGUGGAGGAACACCAGUGGCGAAGGCGACUUUCUGGCCUGUAACUGACACUGAGGCGCGAAAGCGUGGGGAGCAAACAGGAUUAGAUACCCUGGUAGUCCACGCCGUAAACGAUGAGUGCUAAGUGUUGGGGGGUUUCCGCCCCUCAGUGCUGCAGCUAACGCAUUAAGCACUCCGCCUGGGGAGUACGGCCGCAAAGACUG
Molecule: ribosomal RNA, 373 nt
Filed under: uncultured organism
Description: partial 16S ribosomal RNA
Rfam family: Bacterial small subunit ribosomal RNA
Source: RNAcentral